RNAcentral lists this long non-coding RNA (1925 nucleotides) under Oryza sativa (Asian cultivated rice). RNAcentral's name for it is "long non-coding RNA (OSAT_LNC001422)". The record is from RNAcentral. Lineage: Eukaryota; Viridiplantae; Streptophyta; Magnoliopsida; Poales; Poaceae.
GCUCUUGGUUAGCUAGCUCUGUAUCCAGAUAGACGUUGACCUUUUUCUGUCGUGGUAGAUCAGAUGCAAUCAGGGAUGAAUUGAUGGACAUUUGGACAAAAGUAGCAUGGAGAUGGAUACUAGUUCUUGGACGGAAGAAUCAGAUUCUCUUCCCUUUUGCAGUGGAGGCUAUGGCCUACUUCUUACCUGUCCAACUCCGAUCCAAUCCAAUCCAGGCGAGAACGUUGCUAAACACCGGCUGCUGCGUCCUGGAUUAGAGAGCAAAGAGAAGGGUAAAUGUAUAAGAAAAAAAGGGGGCUGAUGAGAAUCAAAGCUUCCAUCUGAACUGAACUGAAGGGUGAGAGGUUGAGGAAAGAAGAAGAAGAAGCUCAAUUUCGGCCCAUUAACAUCGGCCCAAAUUGUUAGAAGAUGUGGGCUGCAAGCAUAUAUUGAUACAUGCAUUAUAAUUAUACUCAGAAUUCAACAGAACACACUUAACAAUAUUUUCUUGAAAGACUUAACAGUAAUUCUACAAUCUAGAUACGGUGAUUAAAUGUUUGAAACAUAACUCAGGAUGACAGAGAACAACACGCUAAUAGAUUAUAGUCCCUACACUUAACAAUAUUUUCGUGAAAAGAAGCAUAUAUGUGUCCUUUGUGUUACAAAAUUCUGAAUACGUUUUCCAACUAGAAAAAAUGAUUAAAAAUCACAGAAAUGCAGUGCAGUACCUAGUAUAGCAUCCUACACUAUAGCCUUGCUCCCUCAUGAUAUUGGACAGGAAUGCAGCAGUUGAACAUUUCCCCUUGGUCCCAGCAAUAUGAAUAGCCUACAAUCACAUUCAUUCAGUUUUGUCCAAAUAUUAAUCACAUUUUCUCCAUUCAAAGUAAAAUCAUGACUCAUAUGCAAGAUGGCAGCUGCCUAAUACUUGAAAGAAACAAAUGUCAAUGUGCCAUGCACCAGAAAAAUCAUAUAUGUUUCCUUCCUUAUGAUUUUAAUAGGCAGUUUCAAGGCAAGUUGUGAGCCUCUGGUGUUAAGGAGAGGGUGAGGUCUCAGUCACUGGGAGUGUGGAGUUCACAAAGGCGGCCGAGGUGAUGCAUGCGGCCAAGGUCGAAGCCAUUGUCAGAGUUGGUCCCGGUGCUGUGUGGCACUCCAGAGCAAUCCAUGUACUCAGAGAAAUCCCUGAGAUGGACAUCCUCGAAGUUCUAUUGAUAAAGCAGGAAGACCAGCGGAGUGAGAUAGCGAAGCGGAGGAGCAUACAAUGAGGUCGUACUGCCGUCGCACUGGCAACGGCAGAAUUUGACGGAGGGAGUGGAGAUACCACCAUGUCGCUGGAGAGUAGUGGCAGAGCUUGGAAUUUUUCGUUGGGUGUGCCUACUUCACACACCAAACUUUUAUAACAACACAAACCACAUAUAUAUACAUGUACAGAUUUCCCCUUUUGUUAAAUGUGUAAUGCAAAUAUGCGACAAUAUCUCACAGCAUUGCUAAUCGACUAAAAUCACGAGAAAAAAAGUACAAUACAGAUAGUUCCAAUGUAAACGAUCUUACAUAAAUAGAAGAUUACAGUGCUGCUACUUUGCGUGUUCUCUUAGCCUUGAAAGUUUGUAGUACUGUCUUCCUCACUACUAUGGAGAAAUAAAAAUCUAGCUUAACAAAUGAGACUAAACAAUCAUUCAAUAAUUUUCCACACAUGCUGUUUCACAAAUUGUUAUUCACAAAUCACAGGAUAGAUUCUCUAUUUGGAUUAACUACAUCACUGAUCGCGACAAUUUCAAUCACAAAGUUAAAACCAUACUGAGGAAAAAAAAACAGUACAAAAUGAGCUAAAGAAUUACCUGUCGUCGGCGAAUGGCUAAAUGCCUAAAAUCAGUCCCGGUCAGUCACUCAGCCGGUGGUAGCGGCGGGCGGUGGCCGGCCGGCGGGGGGCCUCCGGCCCGAGAGGAUGA